RNAcentral lists this long non-coding RNA (2384 nucleotides) under Equus caballus (horse). RNAcentral describes it as "lncRNA (ENSECAG00000046779.1)". Lineage: Eukaryota; Metazoa; Chordata; Mammalia; Perissodactyla; Equidae. The record is from RNAcentral.
GUAAAAAUCAUAUAUUGAAAGACAAUGGAGAGCAGUGGAAGCGAUGAGAAGAGAAGGACAAGCUUUUCCUAGGUCAGCUGAUCCCUAUUUGUUUUCUUCCCUGGGGACAUUCCCCUAUUCUGAGCUUGGGUGCGGUCUUGACCUGAGCCAGCAGAGACUCCACCGAGGGAAAGAGGAGACACGGAGGUUGUGGCCAUCUCGAGGGGCUGGCACGACAGACCAGAGGGGAAACCAGAGGAGCCCUAAUUUCCACACAGGACAUUUGCUGAGCUCUGAGGAAGCUGAUAAGAAGGCUCACUAACCCGGGAUGGAACACUCACUAAAUCUGGAUUAGAGCUGCCUGCAUCACAGACUGGGAGCUCCUUGAAGGCAGGACUUGCGCCGCCCUCCUCCCUCUCCGGCUCUUCGGAUGCUCUGGCGGAGGUGACAGAAAGUGUCAAAGCCAACUAUUCACUGGAGGCAAAGUCUGAACACUUCAAAUGAGAUUUAGUGACUCAUCCGUGGGCAGGCCAGGGCUCUGAGAAUCCCUGCAGGUUAUACACUGACAGUCCAGCUAAUCUUAGGAAGAGGGACAAGAAUUGGAAACCAAGGCGUGGAGAGCUUAAGUAAGCUGCCCAAGGUCACUCAGCUAGUGAAUGGUGGAGCUGGGAGUCUCACCCGGCAGGAGGCCAGCGAGGCUGGAGCUGGUGGGUGAGGACCAGAAUGGCAGGAGAUCGAGCCACGUGGAGGGUCUGGGUCACGUCCAGCCUUGCAGGCCAUGGAAAAGGCAUUGAAUUUUAUCCUAUGUGCCAUGAGAAAUCGUUGAAAAGAUUUGAGCAGGAUAGUGCAUGACUUAAUGUGUGCGUGAAAAAGCCUGUGAUGAACUUUGUUCUUUUAAAAAUAAAAUCAUUAUAAUUUAUGAUUGUGAAACCUACAUGUUCAUUUGGAAAACACAGAAAAGCAUAAAAUCGAAAACCAAAAUCACCUCUAAUCCCACCCUCCGAAGAAAACAGGCCUCAGCCACAAAGAACCAGCCAUCCUGGCCAACUCAGAAUGUGGAGACAUCGUCCUUCUGUGCUGUUCCAUGCACAUUUCUCCUCCUCAUCUUCCCUUCUGCCUUGACUGGAUCAUAAUUCUGACGUGAGAGGAUGAGUACGUUGUAUGCUUGGCCUAUCCCAACUGUUCAUAAUUACAAUACACCACCAAUUUUGUAUCAGGCAAAGCACUUUUUAUAUGCAUCCUUUAAAUUAAUCCUACCUACAGUCCUCUGAGGGGAGUCAUAUUAGCUCUUUUACUGAUGGAGAAAUGGAAGUUCAGAGAAGUAACAACAGCUAGAAAGUGGCAGAGCCAGUUGACCUUGAGUACGUCAGACCCCAAAUUGCAUGCGUUUAAUCCCUUCUUACAGCCUAUGUCCCCUUAAAACUCUCUAUCAUCAAUCCACUUUGUUGGUGGUAGUAGUUUACUCUCCACCUGACCCUAGGAUUGGGCUGGGCUGAGGUACAAGCACAGGUUGUUGGUGAGGCCAACCAGCCCUAAAGCCAGGGGUAUUUAAGAUGUGCAAACAGUGGGUAGGUGCUUGGAGGGCAGAUAGUCAAAUGCCAGGAACGCAGGCUGAAGAGCUACCAUGCAGAUCCAUUAGGGAGAGAAAGCUGGUUUGGGGGAAGCAGGACCACCUCCCGUGAUAAGAUCAGGGCUGAAAGUCUGAAUCCUCAUACCCGUCAGGGCCUCCACCACAGCUGGAUCAGGUUAGAGUAACUUCCCCAAAGCAGCUGGGAAAAUUCCCAGGAUGCCAGGCCGCCAGGCAGUGUUCUGUUCCUGGGGAGAGCCGACCCUGCCGCUUCUCCCUCCCUCCCAUUCAUGGAAAAGUACAGGCAGUGCUGGUGCCCCGCAAGCCUUCAGGCAAAUGCCUGGCUGCCCUCUGGACUCACAACUGCAAGCUCUGACUGGUUUGUCCUUGGUCCAGGGCUGGAGGAAAAUAGUUUCCAAAAAAAGCAGUUUAAAAAAAUGUGGAAAAUAUCCACAAGCCCAGUGUCUGCACAGAGUGGGAGUGGGAGGCCUUGUAGAUGGGCUUGCAGCCGAGGAUUCCACAGUCCUCUUUGCGAAGAGGCAGGGAAGGAAUGUGAAACCCUACCACCCGGAGGCGGAGAAAUGCACAGUAUGCCUUUCACUUUCUGCCCGCUCUGGGAAGGGGUCAGGGACGUGGGUCAUGCUGGGAAGUCACAGCUUCCUGAGAGGCUGCCUCAGACAGGAGUGGUUGGUUCACCAGGUGGGUGAGUCCAGACACCUGAUCUGUUAUCUUCCACAUCUGAGUGAAGUCAUGGAAGAUAAUGAAUAUGUGGAUAAAGAGAACAGAUUUGUGGUUACCAGAGGGAAAGGGGGUUGGAGGGUGGGCAAAAGGGGUAAAG